GGUUAAGCGACUAAGCGUACACGGUGGAUGCCCUGGCAGUCAGAGGCGAUGAAGGACGUGCUAAUCUGCGAAAAGCGCCGGCGAGGUGAUAUGAACCUUUGACCCGGCGAUGUCCGAAUGGGGAAACCCAGUGUGAUUCGUCACACUAUCGUUAACUGAAUACAUAGGUUAACGAGGCGAACCGGGGGAACUGAAACAUCUAAGUACCCGAGGAAAAGAAAUCAACCGAGAUUCCCCCAGUAGCGGCGAGCGAACGGGGAGCAGCCCAGAGUCUGAAUCAGCUUGUGUGUUAGUGGAACGGUCUGGAAAGUCCGGCGAUACAGGGUGACAGCCCCGUACACGAAAGCACACAGGCUGUGAACUCGAAGAGUAGGGCGGGACACGUGGUAUCCUGUCUGAAUAUGGGGGGACCAUCCUCCAAGGCUAAAUACUCCUGACUGACCGAUAGUGAACCAGUACCGUGAGGGAAAGGCGAAAAGAACCCCGGCGAGGGGAGUGAAAAAGAACCUGAAACCGUGUACGUACAAGCAGUGGGAGCACCUUCGUGGUGUGACUGCGUACCUUUUGUAUAAUGGGUCAGCGACUUAUAUUCUGUAGCAAGGUUAACCGUAUAGGGGAGCCGAAGGGAAACCGAGUCUUAACUGGGCGUUAAGUUGCAGGGUAUAGACCCGAAACCCGGUGAUCUAGCCAUGGGCAGGUUGAAGGUUGGGUAACACUAACUGGAGGACCGAACCGACUAAUGUUGAAAAAUUAGCGGAUGACUUGUGGCUGGGGGUGAAAGGCCAAUCAAACCGGGAGAUAGCUGGUUCUCCCCGAAAGCUAUUUAGGUAGCGCCUCGUGAACUCAUCUUCGGGGGUAGAGCACUGUUUCGGCUAGGGGGCCAUCCCGGCUUACCAACCCGAUGCAAACUACGAAUACCGAAGAAUGUUAUCACGGGAGACACACGGCGGGUGCUAACGUCCGUCGUGAAGAGGGAAACAACCCAGACCGCCAGCUAAGGUCCCAAAGUCAUGGUUAAGUGGGAAACGAUGUGGGAAGGCACAGACAGCCAGGAUGUUGGCUUAGAAGCAGCCAUCAUUUAAAGAAAGCGUAAUAGCUCACUGGUCGAGUCGGCCUGCGCGGAAGAUGUAACGGGGCUAAACCAUGCACCGAAGCUGCGGCAGCGACGCUUAUGCGUUGUUGGGUAGGGGAGCGUUCUGUAAGCCGUUGAAGGUGUGCUGUGAGGCAUGCUGGAGGUAUCAGAAGUGCGAAUGCUGACAUAAGUAACGAUAAAGCGGGUGAAAAGCCCGCUCGCCGGAAGACCAAGGGUUCCUGUCCAACGUUAAUCGGGGCAGGGUGAGUCGACCCCUAAGGCGAGGCCGAAAGGCGUAGUCGAUGGGAAACAGGUUAAUAUUCCUGUACUUGGUGUUACUGCGAAGGGGGACGGAGAAGGCUAUGUUAGCCGGGCGACGGUUGUCCCGGUUUAAGCAUGUAGGCGGAACGAUUAGGUAAAUCCGGUCGUUUAUUAACGCUGAGGUGUGAUGACGAGGCACUACGGUGCUGAAGUAACAAAUGCCCUGCUUCCAGGAAAAGCCUCUAAGCAUCAGGUAACAUCAAAUCGUACCCCAAACCGACACAGGUGGUCAGGUAGAGAAUACCAAGGCGCUUGAGAGAACUCGGGUGAAGGAACUAGGCAAAAUGGUGCCGUAACUUCGGGAGAAGGCACGCUGAUAUGUAGGUGAAGCCCCUGCGGGUGGAGCUGAAAUCAGUCGAAGAUACCAGCUGGCUGCAACUGUUUAUUAAAAACACAGCACUGUGCAAACACGAAAGUGGACGUAUACGGUGUGACGCCUGCCCGGUGCCGGAAGGUUAAUUGAUGGGGUUAGCGGCAACGCGAAGCUCUUGAUCGAAGCCCCGGUAAACGGCGGCCGUAACUAUAACGGUCCUAAGGUAGCGAAAUUCCUUGUCGGGUAAGUUCCGACCUGCACGAAUGGCGUAAUGAUGGCCAGGCUGUCUCCACCCGAGACUCAGUGAAAUUGAACUCGCUGUGAAGAUGCAGUGUACCCGCGGCAAGACGGAAAGACCCCGUGAACCUUUACUAUAGCUUGACACUGAACACUGGUCCUUGAUGUGUAGGAUAGGUGGGAGGCUUUGAAGCGUGGACGCCAGUCUGCGUGGAGCCAACCUUGAAAUACCACCCUUUAAUGGCUGGUGUUCUAACGUAGACCCGUAAUCCGGGUUGCGGACAGUGUCUGGUGGGUAGUUUGACUGGGGCGGUCUCCUCCCAAAGAGUAACGGAGGAGCACGAAGGUUAGCUAAUCCUGGUCGGACAUCAGGAGGUUAGUGCAAUGGCAUAAGCUAGCUUGACUGCGAGAGUGACGGCUCGAGCAGGUGCGAAAGCAGGUCAUAGUGAUCCGGUGGUUCUGAAUGGAAGGGCCAUCGCUCAACGGAUAAAAGGUACUCCGGGGAUAACAGGCUGAUACCGCCCAAGAGUUCAUAUCGACGGCGGUGUUUGGCACCUCGAUGUCGGCUCAUCACAUCCUGGGGCUGAAGUAGGUCCCAAGGGUAUGGCUGUUCGCCAUUUAAAGUGGUACGCGAGCUGGGUUUAGAACGUCGUGAGACAGUUCGGUCCCUAUCUGCCGUGGGCGCUGGAGAAUUGAGGGGGGCUGCUCCUAGUACGAGAGGACCGGAGUGGACGCAUCACUGGUGUUCGGGUUGUCAUGCCAAUGGCACUGCCCGGUAGCUAAAUGCGGAAAAGAUAAGUGCUGAAAGCAUCUAAGCACGAAACUUGCCCCGAGAUGAGUUCUCCCUGACCCUUUAAGGGUCCUGAAGGAACGUUGAAGACUACGACGUUGAUAGGUCGGGUGUGUAAGCGCAGCGAUGCGUUGAGCUAACCGAUACUAAUGAACCGUGAGGCUUAACCUU
This 2904-nucleotide ribosomal RNA is filed under the name Enterobacter asburiae. RNAcentral describes it as "23S ribosomal RNA". It matches the Rfam family "Bacterial large subunit ribosomal RNA". Lineage: Bacteria; Pseudomonadati; Pseudomonadota; Gammaproteobacteria; Enterobacterales; Enterobacteriaceae. The record is from RNAcentral.